Rhopilema esculentum is the source of this 596-nucleotide non-coding RNA. The record is from RefSeq and is a predicted model, not a curated record. Lineage: Eukaryota; Metazoa; Cnidaria; Scyphozoa; Rhizostomeae; Rhizostomatidae.
GAAUUUUCAAUCAUUUUACCGUCAAUUUGGCCUUAUCUGCAAAAGGUUGACCAAGGGGUCAAUGCUCAGUUUCUGGGUUUGGUAGUUAGCGGUUACAGCAUUUUUCAGAUUAUUGGUGCCAUUAUGUUUGGUGCUUGGUGCCAGUACCGUCCAGCUAUCGAGCCACUGUUGGCAAGCACUUCUCUUCGCUUUAUUGGGCAUUUCUUGUACCUGUGUGCUGAAAACUAUCCCGGUUUUGAUGGGAAAAUGCUGAUACUAUUUGCAAGGCUUACUAUCGGUUUUUCAGCAGAUGUAGCUGUUUGUCGCACUGUGGCUUCCCAGUCAUUUGCGAAAAACGAGAAGAACAAUGCAUUGAAAGUCCUGACUGCAUUUGAAGAAUUUGGGUCUACAUUAGGUCCAGGUGGGUAGAUUAUUUUUAUCUGUGACUGUUUUUUGCUGAAGUACUGAAUUUGAAAAUUCAUUCGAAAGAAUUCUCUUUCUUUCGACAGAUAAGAAAUUUGAAAAUUCUCUAAGACAGAUAAGUUAGAUUAGACUGAAUCGUAUCUGUUAAUCCUGUCAGGUCCAUUGCAUGUAACGAUGCUGUAUCUAAGGAUCAC